This 381-nucleotide long non-coding RNA is filed under the name Linum usitatissimum (flax). Its description in RNAcentral is "long non-coding RNA (LUSI_LNC007923)". Lineage: Eukaryota; Viridiplantae; Streptophyta; Magnoliopsida; Malpighiales; Linaceae. The record is from RNAcentral.
UGCUAAUUCUGCAGCAGCUACUGAUCGCUCGCACAACUUCCACCAUAUGGUUCAACCACAAGCAGGCUGGUUGAGUUUCUUCAAAUUACAAGGAAGAUUAUCCUUUAACAGAAGAAAACUAAUUAAAUUGGGGUUUGAUAUUUGAUUUGUAGGUUGCCGGUGCUGCAAUUUUGUUGGGAGGAUCCCAAAUAUGAGAUGUGGAGAAGUAUGAUGCCAAGAUGGCUGCUGCUUCAAAGCUUGAGAGUUGAGAUAUGAAAAAGCUAUUUAUAUACGGUACUGUUGUCAUCACCUCUAAAUAAUAAUGGUUACUUUUCAUCUCGUAUCAAUUCAUAUGUGUCAUUCCACAAGAACAUAUCAUCAUAGUGAUAUGUUUUAAACCAG